This is a long non-coding RNA of Tyto alba (common barn owl), 550 nucleotides long. RefSeq lists it as uncharacterized. Lineage: Eukaryota; Metazoa; Chordata; Aves; Strigiformes; Tytonidae. The transcript is spliced from 3 exons. The record is from RefSeq and is a predicted model, not a curated record.
AAUUGGAGGUUUUAAGAUCUCAGUCUGAUUACUUCAGCCUGAUUGAGGAACAAAAACAACCUUGUGUUUAAUAUGAAGUCUUAAAGUUUGUCUGUAUAUUAUUUCUUCAUGCAGCUGUGGGCUAGGAACUUCUAAAAAAAGACUGAGACAUGAAGAAAGACAAUCAAGGAAACAGGACUGGCAGUACUCAACAUAAGCCUGAGGAGCUGUGACGCACCACGGGAAAAAUACAGAGCAAGUUUGGAAAUCAGUGGGUCGGGAAGGAUGAGAGGAGGCAGCAUCUUUUCUCAAAAGCUGCUGAGCAAACUCAAGGGCUAUAAAGACCCAUCCAAGCAUGCAAGGUUACAAAGCAUUUCCAGGGAACACUGUCCUGGCAAUGAAAGAAGAGGAAAGCUGAGGAUGGCUCAUAAUAUCAAUAAUUUCAAAAGGAGCAAAAGUGAGAGGCUUCAUGGAGUAGGAUUUGCACAAGAAAGCUGGAUACAAUUUCCAACUUCACCAGGUGGUAAAACAAUUAAUCCAUCCCACAGUCUAUUCCUCCACCUAUACAACA